This 1815-nucleotide ribosomal RNA is filed under the name Triticum aestivum (bread wheat). RNAcentral's name for it is "partial small subunit ribosomal RNA". Lineage: Eukaryota; Viridiplantae; Streptophyta; Magnoliopsida; Poales; Poaceae. The record is from RNAcentral.
AUGGAAGAGGAGGCCCGGCCGCCCCUGCUCCCGGUGCGCAUCCCGAUGAACGGCGAGGACCUGGCCCCUGCCGCCCCCGGCGCGUGCGCCGUCGGCGGCGGCAGGGCGGAGAUCGACACCUCGGCGCCGUUCGAGUCCGUGCGGGAGGCCGUCGACCGCUUCGGCGGCAGCGCCGCCUGGAGCUCCCACCUCGUCAACCGCAUCUUCGCGCACCACAAGAAGCAGAACCAGACUGUGUGCAUGGGGACUGAAGACGAGCAAUGCGCCAAUCUGGCGGAGCAGACCGCGCAGAUAGAGAAGGAGCUCGGCGCCAAGGAGAGGGAGACGCUCGAUGUGCUCAAGCAGCUCGAGUCCGCCAAGAGGAUCAUCGCAGAUUUGAAGCUCAAGAUUCAGAAGAAAACAGCUGAAGAUGCAUUGCAAGCUGAAGAAGAGAAGCAGCAGCAUCCAGAGAGCAACUGCUCUCUCACUCAAUUGUCCACAGCAGAACCUGAAGUGAAGCAGCCCGAAGGAAACGCUGAAGCUGCAGAAGAAGUGCAGAUAACAGAGCCUGAAGUGAAGCAGCAGCCUGAGGAAAAUGCAAAUUCUGGAGCUGAUGUGGACAUGUGUGCCGGUCUAGACGAACAAGAGCAGCAGCAGCAGCAUCCUAACUUGGUUCUGAUGGAGCUCGAGCAGGCAAAGUCGAACCUGAACAGAACCACGGGUGAUCUCGCUGCCAUCAGAGCCUCCAUCGAGUCGCUGCGUCAUGACAUAGCGACGGAGAAAGUCUUGGUGGAGAGGAGCCGGGCGAAGGUGUCCUCGGAUGCCACCUUGGUUUCUUCUCUGAAGGAGGAGCUGGAUCAGACCACGAAGAAGCUGCAGACGCUGAAGGAUCUGCAGAGAAGGCGCGAGGAUCCCUCGGACAUCUUCUUCGAGAUCAAGAGGAUGACUUCAGAGAUAGAGCAGCUCAGGAAUGCAGCAAAUGCGUCGAAGUCUGAAGCCAUGAUGUUAGCUGCCGAGAUUGAGCAGACCAAGGCUACCAUCGGCACUGCUGAAGUGAGAUGUCUUGCUGCCAAGAAGAUGGAAGAAGCAGCAAGGGCAGCCGAAGCUCUUGCACUAGCUGAGAUCAAGGCCCUACUCUGCAGUGAAGCCUCAGCUGAAGACCUCCAGGGCACAGAUGGAGUGAUCCUUUCAGUGGAAGAGUACUCCGAGCUUGCUUCGAAGGCUCGAGAGGUCGAUGAAAGCUCAAGGAACAAGAUUGCAGCUGCCAUGGUUCAUGUAGACGAAGCCAACCAAUCAAAGUCAGAGUCACUCACAAGGCUAGAGGAAGCCAAAAUGGAGGUUGAGGAGUGUAAGAAGGCACUGCAAGAGGCCCUGAAGAGGGUAGAGACUGCCAACCGAAGAAAGUUUGCGGUGGAAGAGACCCUUCGCCGAUGCCGGUCCGAGACCGGACACAAGAGGCGCUCAUUCCGUGGCUCCCCCAAGUUCAAAACUGCAGCACAUCGUCACAGAGAUGAUUCUCACUGCAUGGACAUCGUCGAUGUUUCAGACAACUCCAUGAAGCCGACACUGUCGAUCGGGCAGAUACUGAGUAUGAAGCUAAUGGGGCCUGAUGGGUACGACAAGAGCGUGUCGGAUGACACGAGUACGAGUGAAACUUCUAGUGUCUCCCUUGGCCAGAUCCUGAACAGGAGGCAGGCAAUCUUGACUUAUAGCAGUGAUACAAGUGCUAACAAGAAAUUCUCCGGAAAGAGGAAGAAGUUUGCCUUCACUGGACUUUCAGUUUUCUUGGCAAAGCAGGCCAAGAGCAAGAAAAAGAGAGGGUCAGAUGAGAACUGA